GACGAACGCUGGCGGCGUGCUUAACACAUGCAAGUCGAACGGAAAGGCCCUGCUUUUGUGGGGUGCUCGAGUGGCGAACGGGUGAGUAACACGUGAGUAACCUGCCCUUGACUUUGGGAUAUCUUCAGGAAACUGGGGCUAAUACCGGAUAGGAGCUCCUGCUGCAUGGUGGGGGUUGGAAAGUUUCGGCGGUUGGGGAUGGACUCGCGGCUUAUCAGCUUGUUGGUGGGGUAGUGGCUUACCAAGGCAUUGACGGGUAGCCGGCCUGAGAGGGGCACCGGCCACAUUGGGACGGAGAUACGGCCCAGACUACUACGGGAGGCAGCAGUGGGGAAUAUUGCACAAUGGGCGGAAGCCUGAUGCAGCAACGCCGCGUGCGGUAUGACGGCCUUCGGGUUGUAUACCGCUUUCGCCUGUGACGAAGCGUGAGUGACGGUAAUGGGUAAAGAAGCACCGGCUAACUACGUG
Molecule: ribosomal RNA, 468 nt
Filed under: uncultured bacterium
Lineage: Bacteria
Description: partial 16S ribosomal RNA
Rfam family: Bacterial small subunit ribosomal RNA
Source: RNAcentral